RNAcentral lists this transfer RNA (77 nucleotides) under Oscillospiraceae bacterium. Its description in RNAcentral is "tRNA-Arg". It matches the Rfam family "tRNA". Rfam says of the family: Transfer RNA (tRNA) molecules are approximately 80 nucleotides in length. Their secondary structure includes four short double-helical elements and three loops (D, anti-codon, and T loops). The record is from RNAcentral. Lineage: Bacteria; Bacillati; Bacillota; Clostridia; Eubacteriales; Oscillospiraceae.
GCGCUUGUAGCUCAGCAGGAUAGAGCAACUGCCUUCUAAGCAGUAGGCCAGGGGUUCGAAUCCCUUCAAGCGCGCCA